GAUGAACGCUAGCGGGAGGCUUAAUACAUGCAAGUCGAACGGUAAGGCCCCGCUUGCGGGGUACACGAGUGGCGCACGGGUGAGUAACGCGUACACAAUCUACCUUUAGGUGGGGGAUAGCCUCGGGAAACUGAGAAUAAUACCCCAUAAUAUUGUCUGUCUGCAUAUUUGGACAAUUAAAGCUCCGGCGCCUAUAGAUGAGUGUGCGUCCCAUUAGCUUGUUGGUAAGGUAACGGCUUACCAAGGCGACGAUGGGUAGGGGGCGUGAGAGCGCGGCCCCCCACACGGGUACUGAGACACGGACCCGACUCCUACGGGAGGCAGCAGUAAGGAAUAUUGGACAAUGGGCGAAAGCCUGAUCCAGCCAUCCCGCGUGCAGGAUGACGGCCCUAUGGGUUGUAAACUGCUUUUAUAUGAGAAGAAACGCCUUCAUUUAUGAGGGCCUGACGGUAUCAUACGAAUAAGCACCGGCUAACUCCG
Molecule: ribosomal RNA, 480 nt
Filed under: uncultured Saprospiraceae bacterium
Lineage: Bacteria; Pseudomonadati; Bacteroidota; Saprospiria; Saprospirales; Saprospiraceae
Description: bacterial SSU rRNA
Rfam family: Bacterial small subunit ribosomal RNA
Source: RNAcentral